CUUAAAGAGAGGACACGUGUAUUUGGUUUAAUACUAUCGGCAAACUGUUGAACUUCUCUCCCCUAUCCCUCUAAAGCAUGGACUCGUGACACUCAUCUCUCCAUCCUAUCAUUAGCUUUGGAAGCGAGAUUUUUCCUCCAAAUUCAAAACAAGUGGAACCCUAAUCGUCAUCUCUCAGGCUAUAUCAACCCUAGCCACGUCCUCUUACAUCUCCUUAUUCUAUUUUUUGAUCAUUUGUCGCAGUUUGACGUCUCUCUUUCUGUUUUGAGUGUUUUUAUCAUGUUCGCAAUUUCAUGGUAUCAAUCGGGAAUCUCACGGUCACAUCUCAGGUGUCUUCUGUAAAUUAUUUUUUCCUCCGUCAUAGUUAAACCUAAUAUAAAGUGUUUUGACAAACAAAAAACCCCAAUCAACAUCUCCCUUCUCAAGCAGAGAAGCUACAACAUUGGUUGAUUAAACCAUAGACUGACGUUCUUAUUUCAUUCGAUGGCAGGGGAUUCUAUCAGAUGAUGUCCAUGGUGAUUUUUCUUAUAAUUUUGUUUGGGUCAGACGGAAUAUAAUGAUAAGGGUCUCCCAAGAUGUUCUGCGAGUGUUUUUUUUUUCUCUGUAUCCAUAGUCCGAAAUUAUCAAACUUAAAAUCCAUUGAAUUUUGAUAUUGAAUAUGUAUGGUUUUGAGUGGAAUGAUUAAGAUCGAUUACUGUUUUAUUCCUAGGUUCAUGGAUUGUAGGUUUAUUUAUUAAUUUUUAAGUGUGCCCUUAUAUAGAAACGUUGGAAGCGUCCACUCUUUUAUGUCAAGGUUAUGCAACUCCUAGAAGAAAAGGUAGAAGACCUUGAAACGCUAGAGCUGACCAGUUUAACAAAUUACAUAAGCAUUGAUGGUGAUGGCCUCAAACAGAGGCAUUUGACGCGUGGACUAUGUAAAAAAAGGAAUCUAGUAUAUGCAUAUGUGGUGGAGACUAAAGAAAAAUAUGUACAUAAACAUUAGACCCCUAAUUCUAGAUAAGAAGAUUA
Molecule: long non-coding RNA, 1008 nt
Organism: Arabidopsis lyrata subsp. lyrata
Lineage: Eukaryota; Viridiplantae; Streptophyta; Magnoliopsida; Brassicales; Brassicaceae
Exons: 3
Source: RefSeq, a predicted model, not a curated record